AGUGAACGCUGGCGGCAGGCCUAACACAUGCAAGUCGAACGGCAGCACAGUAAGAGCUUGCUCUUACGGGUGUCGAGUGUCGGACGGUUGAGGUAUACAUCGGAAUCUACUUUGUCGUGGGUGAUAACGUAGGGAAACUUACGCUAAUACCGCAUACGACCUACGGGUGAAAGCAGGGGAUCUUCGGACCUUUCGCGAUUGAAUGAGCCGAUGUCGGAUUAGCUAGUUGGCGGGGUAAAGGCCCACCAAGGCGACGAUCCGUAGCUGGUCUGAGAGGAUGAUCAGACACACUGGAACUGAGACACGGUCCAGACUCCUACGGGAGGCAGCAGUGGGGAAUAUUGGACAAUGGGCGAAAGCCUGAUCCAGCCAUACCGCGUGGGUGAAGAAGGCCUUCGGGUUGUAAAGCCCUUUUGUUGGGAAAGAAAAGCAGCAGGUUAAUACCCCGCUGUUCUGACGGUACCCAAAGAAUAAGCACCGGCUAACUUCGUG
This 492-nucleotide ribosomal RNA is filed under the name uncultured bacterium. RNAcentral describes it as "partial 16S ribosomal RNA". It matches the Rfam family "Bacterial small subunit ribosomal RNA", at positions 29 to 507 of the family's 1533-position model. The record is from RNAcentral.